CCUACGGGAGGCAGCAGUGAGGAAUAUUGGUCAAUGGACGAGAGUCUGAACCAGCCAAGUAGCGUGAAGGAUGACUGCCCUAUGGGUUGUAAACUUCUUUUAUAUGGGAAUAAAACGUUCCACGUGUGGGAUUUUGUAUGUACCAUAUGAAUAAGGAUCGGCUAACUCCGUGCCCGCAGCCGCGGUAAUACGGAGGAUCCGAGCGUUAUCCGGAUUUAUUGGGGUUAAAGGGAGCGUAGGUGGAUUGUUAAGGCAGUUGUGAAAGUUUGCGGCUCAACCGUAAAAUUGCAGUUGAAACUGGCAGUCUUGAGUACAGUAGAGGUGGGCGGAAUUCGUGGUGUAGCGGUGAAAUGCUUAGAUAUCACGAAGAACUCCGAUUGCGAAGGCAGCCUACUAAACUGCCACUGACAUUGAUGCUCGAAAGUGUGGGUAUCAAACAGGAUUAGAUACCCCUGUAGUC
This 460-nucleotide ribosomal RNA is filed under the name uncultured bacterium. RNAcentral describes it as "partial 16S ribosomal RNA". It matches the Rfam family "Bacterial small subunit ribosomal RNA", at positions 338 to 795 of the family's 1533-position model. The record is from RNAcentral.